Long non-coding RNA from Octodon degus (degu), 514 nucleotides. RefSeq lists it as uncharacterized. Lineage: Eukaryota; Metazoa; Chordata; Mammalia; Rodentia; Octodontidae. The record is from RefSeq and is a predicted model, not a curated record. The transcript is spliced from 2 exons.
AUUACUCUGUGUGUGGAGGGUACUGGGCAUUGGACACAGGUCUGCAUUCGGAUCUUAAUUUUAUUUCAUUAUUUUCAUUAAGUUGCUUGGGCUGCCUGGGCUUGAACUUGCACUCCUCCUGCCCUGUCGUCACCUGGGCCUUGACAGGUGCUAAGUCCUGGGGCUCUGGCUGCUUUUGCUGUGACUCUCCUGUGUUUUAUUGUGAAUCAAGGAGUCUUUUUUUUCCACCAGCAUCUGUGAAGCGGGCAAGCUACCGUCCCUGCUCGCACCUGGCUCGGUGAUGGCCGCUGCUGGUGCUUGAAGCUGCUGCAGCGGUGCCAGGACUCCGAGGCUAGGAGAGACCUGAGAUGAUCCUUGUAGGGCCGUCCAGGGUGACACCACGGAUACUGAAGAAGCUGCUGCUGGUGUGAUUGCUCGGGCCUUCCAUCUCUGCUUCGGGAAUACGGGGUCUGGCCCUGCUUCUGGGCCAUCUUCUGAACAGAAGGGCUGCUGAAUAAAUACGACCUUAAGUGUA